CGCCAGGAUUGGCGGAGUUGAAGGCUUGCGAACCCCGCCAGGGCCGAAAGGCAGCAACGGUACCAUGACCUCGACGGCCGUCAGUCCUGGUCUUU
RNAcentral lists this signal recognition particle RNA (95 nucleotides) under Methylacidiphilales bacterium. RNAcentral's name for it is "Candidatus Methylacidiphilales bacterium signal recognition particle sRNA small type". It matches the Rfam family "Bacterial small signal recognition particle RNA". Rfam says of the family: The signal recognition particle (SRP) is a universally conserved ribonucleoprotein involved in the co-translational targeting of proteins to membranes. Archaeal SRP consists of a 7S RNA and homologues of the eukaryotic SRP19 and SRP54 proteins. In most bacteria, the SRP consists of a 4.5S RNA and the Ffh protein (a homologue of the eukaryotic SRP54 protein). Lineage: Bacteria; Pseudomonadati; Verrucomicrobiota; Methylacidiphilae; Methylacidiphilales. The record is from RNAcentral.